This 254-nucleotide ribosomal RNA is filed under the name uncultured bacterium. RNAcentral's name for it is "partial 16S ribosomal RNA". It matches the Rfam family "Bacterial small subunit ribosomal RNA", at positions 524 to 776 of the family's 1533-position model. The record is from RNAcentral.
UACGUAGGGGGCGAGCGUUGUCCGAAGUUACUGGGCGUAAAGCGCGCGUAGGCGGUCUGUUAAGUCUGGUGUGAAAGGUUCAGGGCUCAACCCGAAGAGUGCACUGGAGACUGGCCGACUUGAGUUGGGGAGAGGAGAGUGGAAUUCCUGGUGUAGCGGUGAAAUGCGUAGAUAUCAGGAGGAACACCGAUGGCGAAGGCAGCUCUCUGGCCCCAAACUGACGCUGAGGUGCGAAAGCGUGGGGAGCGAACGGG